UUACGGGACCUAUAGAAUAUUUUGGGAUGGAGGUGAGCUAGAUUUAGUUGAUGAGCAUGUCAAUGCUGUUUGAUGUCUCUGGUCAAAUAUAAUGGAUGACGAAUGAAAGCAUACAAACAUUUUUCAUACUUUCAUUAGGAGUGGCGAUAGGUCUUGUAAGUGGAAGCAUAAUGAAUGUGAUAUCUAAAUCGGCCAUUGAUAGACUCAACCUUAAAACCAAGCCAGUAGCCGCAUCCUAAACCUUUUCGAUUUGCUUAGGUGAAUAACAUGACAGUACUUGUCAUUAAGAGAUGUCUUGUACCCAUUUAAAUUAGUCAUUUUAAGGAUGAG
RNAcentral lists this unclassified non-coding RNA (330 nucleotides) under Hevea brasiliensis (rubber tree). The record is from RNAcentral. Lineage: Eukaryota; Viridiplantae; Streptophyta; Magnoliopsida; Malpighiales; Euphorbiaceae.